RNAcentral lists this unclassified non-coding RNA (291 nucleotides) under uncultured fungus. RNAcentral's name for it is "partial contains 5.8S rRNA, ITS2 and 28S rRNA". It matches the Rfam family "Eukaryotic large subunit ribosomal RNA", at positions 668 to 961 of the family's 3401-position model. Lineage: Eukaryota; Fungi. The record is from RNAcentral.
AAGGAGUCUAACAUGCAUGGGAGUGUUUGGGGGGAAAACCCGAGCGCGUAAUGAAAGUGAAAGUUGGGAUCCCUGUCGUGGGGAGCACCGACGCCCAUACCAGACCUUCUGUGACGGAUAUGCGGUAGAGCAUGUAUGUUGGGACCCGAAAGGUGGUGAACUAUGCCUGAAUAGGGUGAAGCCAGAGGAAACUCUGGUGGAGGCUCGUAGCGAUUCUGACGUGCAAAUCGAUCGUCAAAUUUGGGUAUAGGUGCGAAAGACUAAUCGAACCAUCUAGUAGCUGGUUCCUGC